CAAUAGCGUAUAUUAAAGUUGUUGCAGUUAAAAAGCUCGUAGUUGGAUUUCUGGUGGGAGCGAUCGGUCUGGCGCUUAGCGCGAGUACUUGCAUCGUCUCCGGCCAUCCUUGGGGAGGGUCUGUCUGGCAUUAAGUUGUCGGGCAGAGGAUCCUCAUCGUUUACUGUGAAAAAAUUAGAGUGUUCAAAGCAGGCUUAUGCCGUUGAAUAUAUUAGCAUGGAAUAAUAAGAUAGGACUUUGGUACUAUUUUGUUGGUUUGCGCACCAAAGUAAUGAUUAAUAGGGACAGUUGGGGGUAUUCGUAUUCCGUUGUCAGAGGUGAAAUUCUUGGAUUUACGGAAGACGAACUACUGCGAAAGCAUUUACCAAGGAUGUUUUCAUUAA
This 383-nucleotide ribosomal RNA is filed under the name uncultured eukaryote. Its description in RNAcentral is "partial 18S ribosomal RNA". It matches the Rfam family "Eukaryotic small subunit ribosomal RNA", at positions 592 to 976 of the family's 1831-position model. The record is from RNAcentral.